UUUCCGUAGGCGAACCUGCGGAAGGAUCAUUAAUGUACCCGGACCGUUCUUUUGCCGUCAAACGCAUUAUAGCGGAAAGGGAGAUAUCAUACACCCUGUGUUUAUUUACCUUUGUUGCUUUGGCGGGCCGUCCUUUACAGCGUCGGCUUCGUCUGAUCGUGCCCGCCAGAGUACGCAAACUUUUCUAUCAGUGAUGUCUGAGUACUAUAUAAUAGUUAAAACUUUCAACAACGGAUCUCUUGGUUCUG
RNAcentral lists this unclassified non-coding RNA (248 nucleotides) under plant metagenome. RNAcentral's name for it is "partial contains small subunit ribosomal RNA, internal transcribed spacer 1, and 5.8S ribosomal RNA". The record is from RNAcentral.